Molecule: ribosomal RNA, 372 nt
Filed under: uncultured organism
Description: bacterial SSU rRNA
Rfam family: Bacterial small subunit ribosomal RNA
Source: RNAcentral
CGAACCGUCCGGACGUUAUUCGGAAUCACUGGGCUUAAAGGGUGCGUAGGCGGCGCAGUAAGUGGGGUGUGAAAUCCCUCGGCUUAACCGAGGAACUGCGCCCUAAACUACUGUGCUCGAGGGAGAUAGAGGUGAGCGGAACUUAGGGUGGAGCGGUGAAAUGCGUUGAUAUCCUAAGGAACACCGGUGGCGAAAGCGGCUCACUGGAUCUCUUCUGACGCUGAGGCACGAAAGCUAGGGUAGCGAACGGGAUUAGAUACCCCGGUAGUCCUAGCCGUAAACGAUGAGCACUGGAUUGGAGGGUCCUCCAUAGCCUUCCAGUCGCAGCGAAAGUGUUAAGUGCUCCGCCUGGGGAGUAUGGUCGCAAGGCUG